GAUAAACGCUGGCGGCGUGCCUAACACAUGCAAGUCGAACGAUCCCGCAAGGGAGAGUGGCGGAAGGGUGAGUAACACGUGGGAAUCUACCUCCUCGCAGGGAACAACCUCUCGAAAGAGAGGCUAAUACCCAAAGGGUCAGAAAUGAUCAGAGUCGAAAGGCGUGAGGAGAGGAGCCCGCGGCCCAUCAGCUAGUUGGUGAGGUAAUGGCUUACCAAGGCUACGACGGGUAGGGGAUCUGAGAGGAUGUCCCCCACACUGGAACUGAAACACGGUCCAGACGCCUACGGGUGGCAGCAGUGAGGAAUAUUGGACAAUGGGCGAAAGCCCGAUCCAGCAACGCCGCGUGGAGGAUGAAGGCC
Molecule: ribosomal RNA, 362 nt
Filed under: uncultured bacterium
Lineage: Bacteria
Description: bacterial SSU rRNA
Rfam family: Bacterial small subunit ribosomal RNA
Source: RNAcentral